This 685-nucleotide long non-coding RNA is filed under the name Vigna radiata. Its description in RNAcentral is "long non-coding RNA (VRAD_LNC012748)". Lineage: Eukaryota; Viridiplantae; Streptophyta; Magnoliopsida; Fabales; Fabaceae. The record is from RNAcentral.
UUCGGUGGGAAGGAUAGGGUUAGGCCUUUGGAAGAUUUUACUCGGGUGAAAGAAAGAUCUCACCGAUUGAAUCGGUGGAAAACUAAGAAAUCAAAAUUUGAUCGGUGAGAAUGAUGCAAACCGGAGCAACGACGGAUGGUUCGAACGGAGAUGGUGAUGAUAAGGUAGAUCUAGGCAAGGAAGAUAUAUUUACCGGUAGAAGGAAUGUGGAUCGAAGGUGGAAGACGCAGAUCUGUGCUCGAAUGACGGACCCUAGCAGAGACGUUGCUUCUAGAGAGAAAACCUAAUGUGAGGUUUCUGAGAUGUGGAAAAUGCGAGUAAUGAUGCUGGAAAUGAAGUGAAGCACGUGAUGCAUAGAAGGCGCUGACGAGGCUUCAGGACGAAACGCGUGUCUGAAGCAGAUUGGAGAAAAGGUGAGUCUGUGUUGAUGAUGAGAGAGAAACACAGUGAGAUAUUGGAAAAUGAAAUAAUGAAGUGUGCUUUGGAAGGAGGCUAGAGGUCUUUGGACUCUCUAGCCAAUGACUUUCAAGGGAGAAUUAUUUUCUGAUUUAGAAAACCAAAUUCUCAUUAAUCUCAAAAGUGCUUACAAAAUGUGUUAGCAUGCCUAUAUAUAAGACUAAAUGUACCACAUGCCUAACACAUUGUAUACAUGUUUAAUACAAGUAAAAAAUUACUAAACUAAUGA